Molecule: long non-coding RNA, 420 nt
Organism: Microtus oregoni (creeping vole)
Lineage: Eukaryota; Metazoa; Chordata; Mammalia; Rodentia; Cricetidae
Exons: 3
Source: RefSeq, a predicted model, not a curated record
AAAAAUGGAAAAGAAGUAUUCAUUGCAAUGGACGCCGUCUUCAAGAUUGGAUAAAGGCAUGCUGGUGGUAGAUAGCUCCGUGUUUCCUGGGAAGGACAUCUACCAAGCAGACCCACCUAGGAUAAGGGGACAGAGGGAAAACCCAACAAGCCCAGAGUGAACAAAGAAAAACAUAACUGCCCUGUGACCUUCUGCCAUGAUGUCUGAGGCCCUCAUCUGAAAAUUGUUAGUUGUUCAUCUCUGGCAUGUUACUUUUAAAAUUCAGUGAUAAUAAAAAUGGAUUUUAUCAUAUGGCAACAACCCAUGUAAUGGAACCUGUCUAAGAAGAAACAUAUGGUAUCGUGUAUGGAGAUAAAUUCUGCUAACAUCUGGGACAAGUGAAUUAUGACAGUGAAAUCCUUGAUUGAAGCUACCAGUCAU